CCUGGCUCAGGAUGAACGCUAGCGGCAGGCUUAAUACAUGCAAGUCGUGGGGCAGCAGGUUUGUAGCAAUACAGAUGCUGGCGACCGGCAAACGGGUGCGGAACACGUACAGAACCUUCCUUUGAGCGGGGAAUAGCCCAGAGAAAUUUGGAUUAAUACCCCAUAGUAUAAUGAAGUGGCAUCACUUUAUUAUUAAAGAUUUAUCACUCGAAGAUGGCUGUGCGGCUGAUUAGGUAGUUGGCGGGGUAAAGGCCCACCAAGCCUGCGAUCAGUAACUGGUGUGAGAGCACGACCAGUCACACGGGCACUGAGACACGGGCCCGACUCCUACGGGAGGCAGCAGUAAGGAAUAUUGGUCAAUGGAGGCAACUCUGAACCAGCCAUGCCGCGUGGAGGAUGAAGGUCCUCUGGAUUGUAAACUUCUUUUAUAUGGGACGAAAAAAGGCUUUCUAAGUCGUCUGACGGUACCAUAUGAAUAAGCACCGGCUAACUCCGUG
RNAcentral lists this ribosomal RNA (497 nucleotides) under uncultured bacterium. RNAcentral describes it as "bacterial SSU rRNA". It matches the Rfam family "Bacterial small subunit ribosomal RNA", at positions 18 to 507 of the family's 1533-position model. The record is from RNAcentral.